CACGGGUGCGUAACGCGUAUAGAAUCUGCCUUGUACAGGAGGAUAGCCUUUAGAAAUGAAGAUUAAUACUCCAUAAUGUUGAGAUAUGGCAUCAUAUUUUAAUUAAAGAUUUAUCGGUACAAGAUGACUAUGCGUCCUAUUAGUUAGAUGGUAAGGUAACGGCUUACCAUGGCUACGAUAGGUAGGGGGUCUGAGAGGAUUAUCCCCCACACUGGUACUGAGACACGGACCAGACUCCUACGGGAGGCAGCAGUGAGGAAUAUUGGUCAAUGGAGGCAACUCUGAACCAGCCAUGCCGCGUGUAGGAAGACUGCCCUAUGGGUUGUAAACUACUUUUAUAUGGGAAGAAACCCCUCUACGUGUAGAGGCUUGACGGUACCAUAAGAAUAAGCACCGGCUAACUCCGUGCCAGCAGCCGCGGUAAUACGGAGGGUGCAAGCGUUAUCCGGAAUCAUUGGGUUUAAAGGGUCCGCAGGCGGUCAAUUAAGUCAGAGGUGAAAGCCUGCAGCUCAACUGUAGAACUGCCUUUGAUACUGCUAGUCUUGAAUUAUUGUGAAGUGGUUAGAAUAUGUAGUGUAGCGGUGAAAUGCAUAGAUAUUACAUAGAAUACCGAUUGCGAAGGCAGAUCACUAACAAUAUAUUGACACUGAUGGACGAAAGCGUGGGGAGCGAACGGGAUUAGAUACCCCGGUAGUCCACGCCGUAAACGAUGGUCACUAGCUGUUCGGA
This 729-nucleotide ribosomal RNA is filed under the name uncultured bacterium. RNAcentral describes it as "bacterial SSU rRNA". It matches the Rfam family "Bacterial small subunit ribosomal RNA", at positions 100 to 828 of the family's 1533-position model. The record is from RNAcentral.